RNAcentral lists this long non-coding RNA (677 nucleotides) under Astyanax mexicanus (Mexican tetra). RNAcentral's name for it is "lncRNA (ENSAMXG00005025175.1)". Lineage: Eukaryota; Metazoa; Chordata; Actinopteri; Characiformes; Acestrorhamphidae. The record is from RNAcentral.
CUUGCAGGCAGAGAAAGUAUGAUUUCUUAGGUUAACUUAAGUUAAAUGAACGUGUGCUGUCUAAUAUUGUCCAUACUUACACUGCCAUGAAUUUGUGCAAUACUGACAGAGAAUUCCAGUAGAGAACUAAAAUCUGAACAGGACGUGGAUCGAGUGGCUGUUCUGCUGGACAUCUGGACAUGUGAGACUGCAUUCCUGGAGCAUAAAAUAGAGGUACUGUUAAAGAAAGUAUUUCAAAAAAGGUUGCAUAUACAGGAUAAUCAAAAUGUUUACCUUGCCCUUGUUGAUAUUCUUUUUACAGCUCUUGAAUUGCUACUUUGAAGCUUACCACCACAUCAUAGACCCAGAAGAGCGAUUUAGUUUGGCUCAAGUAAUUACAGAUAUAAUGCACAGAAGACCUCGUCUGAAUUUGGAAACAGAGUAUUUUGUUCAAGCCUACAGGCAGGAGGUGGCCUGUCUGCAGAGCCACCAGCAACUUAUCAAACUAGUUCUAAAUUCUCAGAUUGAUAAGCAGCGUGAGUACCUUGACCGGAUAUGGAGAGGGGAGAGGAGGAGGAGCUGUCCAGAUGAAUAUGGUUUUCCUUUAAGUUUUGUCCCGAAACAACUGGUGUCAGUAGGUGGAAGUAGGUAAGCAUUAGGAUAAUAUAUGGAGAACACUCUGAACGCCAUGUAGUCCU